Molecule: ribosomal RNA, 301 nt
Filed under: uncultured bacterium
Lineage: Bacteria
Description: partial 16S ribosomal RNA
Rfam family: Bacterial small subunit ribosomal RNA
Source: RNAcentral
CAGUAGCCGCGUUAAUACGUAGGGUGCAAGCGUUAAUCGGAAUUACUGGGCGUAAAGCGUGCGCAGGCGGUUAUAUAAGACAGAUGUGAAAUCCCCGGGCUCAACCUGGGAACUGCAUUUGUGACUGUAUAGCUAGAGUACGGCAGAGGGGGAUGGAAUUCCGCGUGUAGCAGUGAAAUGCGUAGAUAUGCGGAGGAACACCGAUGGCGAAGGCAAUCCCCUGGGCCUGUACUGACGCUCAUGCACGAAAGCGUGGGGAGCAAACAGGAUUAGAUACCCCAGUAGUCCCUGUCUCUUAUAC